RNAcentral lists this ribosomal RNA (253 nucleotides) under uncultured bacterium. RNAcentral's name for it is "partial 16S ribosomal RNA". It matches the Rfam family "Bacterial small subunit ribosomal RNA", at positions 524 to 776 of the family's 1533-position model. The record is from RNAcentral.
UACGUAGGGUGCGAGCGUUAAUCGGAAUUACUGGGCGUAAAGAGCUCGUAGGCGGUUUGUCGCGUCGAAUGUGAAAACCCGGGGCUCAACCCCGGGCCUGCAUUCGAUACGGGCAGACUAGAGUUCGGUAGGGGAGUCUGGAAUUCCUGGUGUAGCGGUGAAAUGCGCAGAUAUCAGGAGGAACACCGGUGGCGAAGGCGGGACUCUGGGCCGAUACUGACGCUGAGGAGCGAAAGCGUGGGGAGCAAACAGG